Molecule: non-coding RNA, 106 nt
Organism: Acanthosepion pharaonis
Lineage: Eukaryota; Metazoa; Mollusca; Cephalopoda; Sepiida; Sepiidae
Source: the annotation of a GenBank genome assembly
ACAUCACGUUGAAAUACCCGUUCCCGUACGAUCACAGAAGUUAAGUAACGUUGAGUGUUGUCAGUAGGUAGAUGGGUGGCCGCUUCGGAAUGCCAAGUGCUGUAAG